This 1165-nucleotide long non-coding RNA is filed under the name Equus asinus (donkey). RNAcentral describes it as "lncRNA (ENSEASG00005034140.1)". Lineage: Eukaryota; Metazoa; Chordata; Mammalia; Perissodactyla; Equidae. The record is from RNAcentral.
CGGGAGUACUGGGGUGCGCGGGGGUCCCAGGGUGCACGUGGCAUACUGAGGUGCAUGGGGGCCCGGAGUGCACCUGGGUCCCGGGCUGCAGGUGGGGUCCCGUGGUGCAGGUGGGGUACUGUGGUGCAGGUGGGGUCCCGGGCUGCAGGUGGGGUACUGGGGUGCGGGGGUGCUGGGACACACGAGGUACGGACGGUGCUCGGGGGGUCCCGGGAUGCAGGAGUCUCCUGGGGUCGGGGCUGGUCCCGGGGCUCGUGCGCACGGCGCAAGUCCCAACCCGGGUCGCGAGCCCGGGGGUCCCCGCGCCUCAGCGCCCCGCCCGCCGCGCUCUCCGGCCCAGCGGCGAAAACGCUGGGCACCGACGCAGGGGGAAAAGCAUCGGGCCGCGCGGGCGGGCAGGCGCACUGACCGAAGCCGCCCCGGCGGGCCAGGCGCACGCGCGCACCCAGCCGGAGCCCCAUGGGCCGACGCCGGGCAGGUGCCUGAGCGCGGCCGGCGCCCCGCCCCCCUCCGGCCCCCUCCCGCCGCCGCCGCGUGCACGGGGCGGGGCCUGCUCUGCGGAGUGGGCGGGCCUAUACCGAUGAGUGGGCGGGGCCCCGCGCCGGCGGGGGCAUUAGAGGCGGCCGCCGGCGGGUGGGCGGAGCCUCCACGCGCGUACGCCGUGCUGGCCACGCCCCCUGCAGGAGCCCCGCCCCCGUGCGCGCCUGCCUGCUCCCCACGCGACGCCGGGCUCCGGGCGGCAAAGGCCAGCGGCCGCGACCCGAGCAGCGGCUGGAGGUUGGCCUCUGCCGGGGGCCGGCGGCCCAGCCGUUCGGGGUCCCCACCCCCGGGCCGUCCCCCGCCGAGCCCGGCUGGAGCCCUGGCUGUGACCCGCCUGUGACCCUGAGCGGGUGGCUGGCCCCGUCUCCCUCCGGACCGGCCGCGUGUGUCCGCAGUGGGGACCCGCGGUGACCGGGCCCGGGCUCUGCAGCAGACCCUUAAAGGGUGCGGCCCUGCAGGAGUGGACCAGAGACAGGGCUGGGCCUGGGGGUCCUGGCUUCCCCAAGACAGCCAGGGGGAAGCUGCGUGCUUCUCCUGACACGCUUCUGCCAUGUUCUGUGGCCGCGGCUGUCACCCAGCCUGGGCUCAAGGGGGUGGAGAUUAUAGAAAUUAAACUGUGCUUGUA